CCUACGGGUGGCAGCAGUGAGGAAUAUUGGUCAAUGGGCGGAAGCCUGAACCAGCCAAGUAGCGUGCAGGAUGACGGCCCUACGGGUGGUAAACUGCUUUUAUACGGGAAUAACGCGCCUUACGUGUAGGGGUUUGCAUGUACCGUAUGAAUAAGGACCGGCUAAGUUAGUUCCAGCAGCCGCGGGACUACGGAAGGUCCGGGGGUUGUCCGGAUUUGUUGGGUUUAACGGGAGCGUAGGCCGCAUGUCAAGCUUGCUGUGAAAUGUCCGGGCUCAACCCGGGCCUUGCAGCGCAAACUGGCGUGCUUGAGUCCGCGAGAGGCAGGCGGAAUUCGUCGUGUAGCGGUGAAAUGCUUAGAUAUGACGAAGAACCCCGAUUGCGAAGGCAGCUUGCUGCAGCGGAACUGACGCUGAUGCUCGAAAGCGCGGGUAUCGAACAGGAUUAGAUACCCUUGUAGUC
This 460-nucleotide ribosomal RNA is filed under the name uncultured bacterium. RNAcentral describes it as "partial 16S ribosomal RNA". It matches the Rfam family "Bacterial small subunit ribosomal RNA", at positions 338 to 795 of the family's 1533-position model. The record is from RNAcentral.